AACGAACGCUGGCGGCGUGGAUAAGACAUGCAAGUCGAACGCUAAUACAAAGGUAGCAAUAUCGUUGUGUUGGAGUGGCGAAAGGGUGAUUAACACGUGGGCAAGUUACCGCGAGAUCUAGGAUAACCUGCUGAAAGGCAGGCUAAUACUGGAUAACACCUUGGAUCGGCAUCGAUUCAAGUUUAAAGUUGGGGCUCCGCAAGGACCUGACGACUCGCGAUACGCCCGCGUCCUAUCAGCUAGUUGGCGGGGUAAAAGCCCACCAAGGCUAAGACGGGUAGCUGGUCUAAGAGGACGACCAGCCACACUGGAACUGAGACACGGUCCAGACACCUACGGGUGGCAGCAGUCGAGAAUUUUUCACAAUGGGCGAAAGCCUGAUGGAGCGACGCCGCGUGGGGGAUGAAUGGCUUCGGCCCGUAAACCCCUGUCAUUUGCGACUAAACUCUGCAAUUGAACAGAUUGCAGACUGAAAGUAGCGAAAGAGGAAGGGACGGCGU
RNAcentral lists this ribosomal RNA (500 nucleotides) under uncultured bacterium. RNAcentral's name for it is "bacterial SSU rRNA". It matches the Rfam family "Bacterial small subunit ribosomal RNA", at positions 29 to 499 of the family's 1533-position model. The record is from RNAcentral.